This 82-nucleotide transfer RNA is filed under the name Ixodes scapularis (black-legged tick). It matches the Rfam family "tRNA". Rfam says of the family: Transfer RNA (tRNA) molecules are approximately 80 nucleotides in length. Their secondary structure includes four short double-helical elements and three loops (D, anti-codon, and T loops). Further hydrogen bonds mediate the characteristic L-shaped molecular structure. tRNAs have two regions of fundamental functional importance: the anti-codon, which is responsible for specific mRNA codon recognition, and the 3' end, to which the tRNAs corresponding amino acid is attached (by aminoacyl-tRNA synthetases). tRNAs cope with the degeneracy of the genetic code in two manners: having more than one tRNA (with a specific anti-codon) for a particular amino acid; and 'wobble' base-pairing, i.e. permitting non-standard base-pairing at the 3rd anti-codon position. Lineage: Eukaryota; Metazoa; Arthropoda; Arachnida; Ixodida; Ixodidae. The record is from Rfam by way of RNAcentral.
GCAGUCGUGGCCGAGUGGUUAAGGCGAUGAACUAGAAAUCCACUGGGGUCUCCCCGCACAGGUUCAAAUCCUGUCGACUGCG